Molecule: microRNA, 24 nt
Filed under: Oikopleura dioica
Lineage: Eukaryota; Metazoa; Chordata; Appendicularia; Copelata; Oikopleuridae
Description: odi-miR-1481
Source: miRBase by way of RNAcentral
CCACAAUGAAGAUAGAAGAUGGCU